Molecule: small RNA, 178 nt
Filed under: Photorhabdus laumondii subsp. laumondii TTO1
Lineage: Bacteria; Pseudomonadati; Pseudomonadota; Gammaproteobacteria; Enterobacterales; Morganellaceae
Description: Photorhabdus luminescens subsp. laumondii TTO1 IscS-1 ICR thermometer
Rfam family: IscS-1 ICR thermometer
About the family: Imprinting control region from upstream of iscS-1 (cysteine desulfurase).
Source: Rfam by way of RNAcentral
CCAAGAAGUAUUGGAUGUUGCUGGUCGCCAGGAUAACGAUAAACGCCGUGCACCUAACGGCAGAGCACAAGAAACAAUUAAUGUCAAUCUGCGCCCAUAAGCAGAACUUGUGAUGAAUUGAAGUAUUAGAAGUAGGGAGCAUGUGACCAAUGAAAUUACCCAUUUAUUUAGAUUACUC